GAAAAGGAUUUAAUAAAAUCCAUUCCCAUUCCUUAAAAAGCAAUA
Struthio camelus australis is the source of this 45-nucleotide non-coding RNA. NCBI's taxonomy places the organism in Eukaryota, Metazoa, Chordata, Aves, Struthioniformes, Struthionidae. The record is from Rfam.